GUUACUUUGUAUCAGCACUAUGUGAUGAAGCUGAACAGAGAAUUGUCUCUGCAGAAUGUGAAGAUUGCGCAGCACAUUUAGGUGGAUGUAAGCAUGCAAUAGCUUUUAUAGCUUGGCUGCACAGGUGUAGCGAAGACCCUCCCUCUACUAGUAUCGACUGUUACUGGAAGAAGUCCAAAUUAUCCACGAUAGGCACAACCCUAAAGUAUAUAAGAGUUAAAGAGUUAGGUAGUAGUUCAAAAGCCAAACCUGCUCCAUCUGCCAAUACUCGAAGCCUUCUACCAACUCUAAUAAACCAUAGCAAAAGCAUCGGUCACAUGGAAAGUCAACUCAUGAAAUACUACAAGGAAAAAAGCAGAGCAGAAAAAUUAUCCCUUCAUCAUUUAGUAAAUACACUACCAAAUAAACCGGCUAACGCCACAUAGUUCAUCAAUUAUUGCAGGAGUAUGAUGGACACAUCAUCUUGCAAUAAAGCUAAUCUAGCUACAAUUGAUCAGAAUGACUGUCCGCUGUGGCAUGAGCUACGGUAUGCUAGGAUUACUGCUUCGAAGAUGCAUGAAGCAGCACACUGCAAAGUUUUCGAAGGCACUUUAUGUGAAAGUAUAAUGGGAGCAAUUAAAUUAAAGGACACAGAGGCGAUGAAAAGAGGGCGUUUGCUAGAGAAAAAAGUAUUGAAAGAAGUCGAAAAAAAAAAAUGAAACUAAAAAUUAAUGGGUGUGGUUUGAUCUUGAACCCUAAUUAUCCCGUAUUUGGUACAUCUCCUGAUGGUGAGAGUAUUGAUUAUUGAGUAUUGAAAAUCAAAUGUCCAUCAUCUGAGAAAGCCAUGAGUAGGUAUGUUUCAAAAGAUGUUAUAUCCUCAAAAUAUAUGGCUCGGAUCCAAAUGCAGAUGUAUUUAAAAAAAAAAAAGGGCUUUUCUGUGUUGCACAUCAUGAUUUUGAAAUAUCAAAGGAAGUAGACAUUUAUAUUGUAAAUUAUGAUGAGAAUUAUUGUGCAAAUAUUUUGGAAAAAAGCAUGCUCUUCUGG
RNAcentral lists this unclassified non-coding RNA (1023 nucleotides) under Leptinotarsa decemlineata (Colorado potato beetle). RNAcentral describes it as "uncharacterized LOC111510665, transcript variant X2". The record is from RNAcentral. Lineage: Eukaryota; Metazoa; Arthropoda; Insecta; Coleoptera; Chrysomelidae.